This 229-nucleotide ribosomal RNA is filed under the name uncultured bacterium. RNAcentral describes it as "partial 16S rRNA". It matches the Rfam family "Bacterial small subunit ribosomal RNA", at positions 505 to 733 of the family's 1533-position model. The record is from RNAcentral.
GUGCCAGCAGCCGCGGUAAUACGUAGGUGGCAAGCGUUGUCCGGAAUUAUUGGGCGUAAAGCGCGCGCAGGUGGUUUCUUAAGUCUGAUGUGAAAGCCCACGGCUUAACCGUGGAGGGUCAUUGGAAACUGGGAGACUUGAGUGCAGAAGAGGAAAGUGGAAUUCCAAGUGUAGCGUUGAAAGGCGUAGAGAUUUGAAGGAACUGCAGUGGCGAAGGCGAGUUUCUGGU